Molecule: long non-coding RNA, 21657 nt
Filed under: Gossypium barbadense (sea-island cotton)
Lineage: Eukaryota; Viridiplantae; Streptophyta; Magnoliopsida; Malvales; Malvaceae
Description: long non-coding RNA (GBAR_LNC001046)
Source: RNAcentral
AACACCUAGCCGCACUCAAGUAUUUAAUUAUUUCUGGAUUUGAUGGAGUCACAACUUUACCUGAGUGGUUGGGAAACCUCACCUCUCUUCAAGAUUUGACAAUAGAUUUUUGUCGAAAUCUGGAGCAUCUGCCAUCUAAGGGAGCCACAUAUCAUCUCUCCAAUAUUCAACUCUUUCUAUUGCAAACUGUCCACCAUUAAAAGGAGACCGGAUUUACAUCAGCAAGAGGUUAGAUCCCUGCCAACCAAAUACAAGUCUAUGAACAUUAAGAAUGUAAGUUAAAGUCUCAUCGAUGUGCUCCUAUAAUAUUCACAAUACAUCCUAAUGAAAGAAAUUUCUUUCAUGCAACACUCAUAUUUUGACUGAAGGAUGCACCAGAGAGAUGACGAAUUCCUAGGUUGCAGUCAACUUCAACAUCCCCGGUCACCACCUCAACUCAUCCCAUCGAACCCUUGGGAUUGAAUGGAUCGGAACAAGAAAGCUCUCUUCCAUGUCAACUUCAACAUCUCACUGCAUACCGGCAUGGAAAUGACUGAAAAAGCUCUCUUCUGCUUCAGUUUUGAGAAUUUAUUUAAACGAACAAGUUGAACCAAUAAAUUGAUGGCUUAAACAUCAUAUUCAAAUUAUCUAUGUAAUAGAUUAUUUAAAGUCCAUUAUUAAGCAAAUAUUUUAAGUGGUCAUUAAAAAGAAAAAUAAUGGAAAAAAAUGAAAUUCAAGUACUAAAACUUUAACAAAUUUUAAUUGUACCUCUUACAAAAUUUGUAGUGCUUAGAUCAAAGAUGAUUGAGUCUAGGUUGGCUUCUACACAUCUCUUUAAUGAGCUUCCUUUCUAUAUCCAAAUUAUUACUUCCAUGGGAAAUCCACCAACCCUGUAAAUAUUUUUAAAUUAUUUACGAACCCAUUGAGCUGGUUGAAUCUAAAAUUAAAUUAAUUAGUACUCAAAAUAACUCGAAUAAGUAAACUCAGGAGCAAUGCUGGUGGGAGGUAGGCACCUAAUCUCCCAAAAUGAAAAUUUUCACUUUUGGACCUUUAGAAUUGAUAAGAUUUUAAGUUAGUAUAUGAUAAAAUUACACUUUGACCUCUCAUGAUAAAAAAAAGAUUAGUUGCCAAAUUAGGAAAAAGAGUCAAGUUCGAGUAUUAAAUUAAAUCCCCAAAAAUAUAAGUACCAAUUUAAGAAAAAAGAGUCAAAUUUGGAUACUAAAUGGACAAAAAAAGAUAUUAAAUUAAGAAAAAUGUGAAGUUUAGAUACCAAAUAUUAUAUUAAAGAUUAUUUUAAGAACCCAUUAUUAACUGGAAAUUAAUUUCUUAUUAUUUUAAGUGAAUUACCCAACUAUUUUCAAAUUUUUAUUAAAUUUAUAAUAUAUUGAAGCUAUGUAAUUUGAUAAAAUUUGAUUUUGUAAUAUAAGAGAUUAACAUAAUCUCGAUAUCCUUUGAUCUCAUCCACCGAUGUAACUCGAUCUAUACUUCAAACUAUAAAUAGAGAGCCUCCCUCACCCAUGCGACCAAUUUUGACAUUUAACCCUAAAUUUUUGUAUCUCUAGCAGCUUCCUAUCGCCGGGGGUCGCGCCGGUGUAGUUUUCUUAUCUUAUGGCGAUGUGUGUCGAAGACAGGAUCAGUAAUCUUCCGGAUCAUAUUCGUUGUUAUAUUUUGUCAUUCCUUCCCAUUCAAGAAGCAGUUCGAACCUCCGUUAUUUCAACCAAGUGGAGAAACCUCUUUGCUUCAAUUUCUACCGUUGACUUUGAUACUUAUUUACUGUGUCGUUUGACGGACGGAAACGUUGACAGCUUCAAGAACUUUGUUGAUAGGUUGCUGAAAUUCCCCGAUCAACUAAGUUUAGAUUGCUUUAGGCUACGUGGCGAUGAAUUUGAUUCAUGGAAUGACGAAGGUCAUGGUUUUGAUGUUUCUGGUUGGAUAUGUGCUGCAGUGUGCCGUGGUGUCAAGGAAAUUGAUUUGUACUUAGAUAUUUUUUUGUCAUACUUUACCAACUCUUUUAUUCACUUGCCACUCACUGCUGACACUGACAUUGGUUGCAAAAGAUUCUAAGAUUUUUGAGGUCCCAUCCGAGGUUUGUUUAAGGAAUCUCAAGACUUUGUCCAUUACAAACUCGCGACUUGUCGGUGAUUCUCUUAAUAGGUUAAUUUCCAAUUGUCAUGUCUUAGAAGAUUUGACCUUUUAUCAAUGUUUUGUUGCGAAUGCAAGGGAGAUCAAUAUCCAAAUUCCAUCACUUAAGAGCUUGUAUUUAGAUUUUUUUCUCCCGAUCGAAGGUUUAAAUUAUGUGGUGGUGAUUAAUGCUCCAAAUCUUGUUUAUUUUCGAUAUGAUUCCAUAAUAGUUGAAGGUUAUAGUUUGAGUAACAUGAAAUCCCUAGAAAAAGCCGAGAUGUGCAUCUCGUUUUAUUCCAGUAAUUAUGAAACAAGUGCAACUCAUCUUUUUCAAGGAAUUUGCAAUGUACGGUCUCUAAGGUUAAACAUUCAUGAAGUGGUUAGUAAACUUAAUAUUCAUGUGUUCUUUUUUCCUUAACAUUAUAUAAUAUAACAGUUUAAGUGUUUGUGUGUGCAGAUUCACCUAACAAGUGGAUUUCCUAUAUUUCACAAUCUUAUUGAAUUCGAUUUUUAUGGGAGUGAAACUUGGUUUGUAGAGUUUCUACAUUGUGCGCCUAAUCUAAAGACACUUACCAUCCUACUUGAGGUAUGAAGUCUUUGUCUAAGUACGAUAAACUUACUCGAUAUCAUGACCUAAAUUCAUGGCCCAAACCAAAUAACUUUUCUUCUUUGUCAUGAGUUUAGGGUGUUGCGGGAGCUCGAUGGAAUAUAAACGUUCCUUCUUGUUUGUCAUUUCGCCUCAAGAAGAUUGAAAUUUCAGACUAUGUCAUAGAUAUGAUUGAAAUAGUUCGUUAUUUAUUAGAUAAUUCAAUGGUUCUAGAAGAGCUUAUAAUAAGGAUGAAGGCCAUAAAUGCGACACCUGGAAUUAAAGCCUGCAACCAAUUAUUGCCGUUACUAAAGAGUUCAAAGAAAUGUCAAAUUGUGAUUUUGUAGCACUGAAUUAUCAGAUUCUUGUGAAAUACAAAUUCGGUUUUAAGUCAAAAUAUUUUUAUUUAAUAGGGGUUUAGAUUUUUAUUUUUAUUUUUACAUUUCUGUAUCUUUCUUCUCUUAUUUGCUAGCAAUUUUAUUUAAUUAUUUAAAAGUUUUCAUUUAAUUAGUCAAUUAAAAUAAUUUAUGUAUAAUCUUUUUUUUGCCCUCGCUUAUAGAAUCGAUUGCUCUUAUUCUCUUUUUUUUUUCUCAUUUUUUUUCAUAGAGCUCGCUAAACUUAAAAAAUAAAAUUAACAUCACAAUGACUUACAUAAAAUAGUACCAAAAAGCCCCUCUACUAUAAUAUAACAUGGACAAGAGGCUGAAGAUUCCUAUCAAGCAAAUUGUACUCUAAUACGCUCCUAUAAUAUUCACAAUACAUAAUGACAGAAUUUUUUUGAUAGAAGUACCAUGAAAGUCUCUCUACUAAAAGUUAAAUUCUUUAAUAUUUUCAUUUUUAUAAAGUAGGUGGAAUAAAAUUGAAUUUAACAUUUUUGUUUUUUCAUCGAUUAAAUAAAUGUUUUUAGAAUCAAACUAGAUCAUUUGGCUAAAAUUUUAAUUGAUUGCAGUACUGGUUCGAAGAUAAAUGUUGAAUCGAUUAGCCCGUGAACUGAAACAAAUGACGAAGCUCAGGAAAAUCUAUGAACUAGUUGACUUGUUUUUUUCUAUUCUUUAAAUAAUUUAUUUUUUAUUUUAUGAUUUUUUUAAACAAAUAACCCAAUCUUAAACCUCCCGCCAAUGCAAGUCCGGUCUGCCUUUAAUAGUCGACAGUGUAUGAUGGUAAGACUGUAUAUCGGAGAGACGACACACAGCUCCUUUGCGCGGCAGAUGGUCUGUUGGGAAGAAACCGAACAACCGAAACAAAGCGAAAGCACAACCGGUGUUCUUUCUCUCCUUAUAACUCCUGUAAAAAAUUAUGGCAAGCACAAUAGCACAAGAUAUGUUCUCUAGCAACCUUAAUCAACCACAAAUCAACUAAUGCAACCACAACAAAAAUAAAUAGAGACACCGGUAUUUUUACGUGGAAAACCCCUUUAAAUCAAGGGUAAAAACCACGGGACUUUAGAGUCCGAUAAAGAGCUCUACUAUCAUCAAAUGUUCGACUACAAGAUCACAAUAUCAAGCCUACAACAAGCAUUCAACUCCGACAAGGCUAACAAUAUGUAAUCUUUAGCAAAAGAGAGAAAAAUGAGAGAACAUCACCAAAAAAUGCAGCUGCUGAAAAAAUGGGUAUUUUCGACGCUAAAAGACUCGGAUGAAAAAUCCGACCGUCCAAAGUCAAGAACACCUUAUCGCCUAGCUGCUGUCCAAAAAUCAGCUCAAUUGAACCACGGAUGGACCUUCGAUCGAGGAGUUGAUCACUGCUGCACCAAGCUUGAAAAACUGAUUUUUUUUUAUUCUCUCUUUUUCUCCAACGAGCUUCAAUCUCACUCUCUGUUUUUCUCUCUUUUAAAUUGAGAAUUUGACACUCAAUAAUAAUAGAAAGACAAAACAUUAUGGCAGAAAAUAUGGGUUUCCCACAUAGUGGGACCCAUACCCAACAUGGUCCAGAUUUAAUGAAUCGCUAACUAUUGAAGAGAGGAGAAAUUGUUAUCUCUAAUGUUUCCAACCUUGUGAAUUCAGGUAAUGCUUCCUCUUAUCUCUUAUCUUACUAUGAACAUGUCUGCAAAUGGUAAGAGUUAGGUGAUGGACAUAGGUAAUCUGCAUAUGUAAUGUAAGUUAAUUGAAAUGUGAUCAUCACAGAAGUUAAAAACUUAGGUCCUUUACACUAUGGCUUUUCUAGUCUAAUAUGAGAAAUGGAUUGUCCAAUAUCAUGUUAAUUAUGCAUCUUAGAUCUCAAAAGCUAGCUGUUGGGAACCAUUGUUUUUAAAACUGUAUGAGCUAGUUGGACCAGGUUGAAUCGUCUGACUUUCACAACGGUAUGAACCAAUUGAACCAAACGUUGGAGUAAAAAUCUUAAAAAUCUUAUUGGGAACUUAUCCUAGGCAAAAGUUGGGUUCAAUCAAGUUUUUGCAAUAACCUCUAUUAAUGUAACACCCCCUAAUCCCAAACCGUCGUCAGAAUAGGGUUACGAGGCGUUACCGAACAUAUUGGUUAAUUUACAAACAAUUUUAUGAAUAAACAACAAAUAUUUUAAAAUUAAAUCAUUAAGUCUCUUUUAUGAACCCUCGAGGCCUAAAUCAUGUAUUAUAAAUGAAUAGGGACUUAUUCAAGUACUCUGAAAAUUUUUCAUAAUAUAAUAAUUAUUAUUUUUUUUAAAAAAAUUUCAAUAUAACCCUUUUAAAAACAUCUAACCUUCCCUGCAAUUUCAAAUUUGCAACUAACUCAACACAACAACAACUCAACAAAUACAAUCUUCAUCCAAAUCAUAUUCGUCUUAUAACAAUAUCACUAAUCCUUAUUUUAUCUAACAUUAUAUCCAUUCAUACUUUCAAGUAGUAUUUAAAAAUCUUAAUUAAUUUCCAUUCAUAUCAUAUAUCAACUUAUAUUAACUUAACUAAUAUAUUCAUGAGUUGAUACAAAACAUAGUCACAUCAGCUCCUAUACAUGCCAUAUAAACCAUUUAAAGUAAUUAUAACAAAAUCUACCGGAAAAUCGAGAUAGUGUGACUUGAGCGUGAUGAUCCGAUCCUCUGACCCUCCCGUUAAUCUACAAAGAGCAAUAAACAUUACAGGUAAGCUAACUAUAGCUUAGUAAGUUCGUCGGCUUAAACCAUAAACCUUACCAAUAUUAGUUUCAAAAAUUCAAAUCAUAUGGACAUUUCAAGUAAGUUACUUUCAUCUUGUAAAUCAUAAUCUCAUUUUAAAAAUAAUUUACUUAAUUGAGCUAAAAAAUAAUGAUAACAUUAUUUACAUUUCUUUUUUCACACGUUACAAUUACGACUUACUGACUUGUUAAUUUAAGGAACGACUUAUGGAUUUGAGUACAUCGUGAUCUGAAACCCGAAAUCUAACUGAAGCACAAAAGUGCUAAACGGAAGCCCGAAGGCUAACUGAAGCACAUAAGUGCUAAACGGAAGCCCGAAGGCUAACUGAAGCUCAUCAGAGCUGAACUGAAACCCCAAAAGGGUUAACUGAAACUCAUAUGAGUUAACGGAAGCUCGUAAGAGCUAAAUAGAAAGCAAACACGAGAGUUCGCAACAAAUGCUGAAUCUCGGUUUACUUGGGUAAUUUACCGUCAAUUCAUCUUUUUCACCGAACGAUCGUACUCAUUUCCUGCGUUCCGUUCCUCCGAAUUACUCAGUUCAAUUUCGUAACUUUUGUACAUGAUUUAAUUAUUUUCAACAAUUAACAUACAUAAAUAUUAAUCACCAUUCAUAAAAUAACAUUGAAAUUUAAUAAUUUAACCGUACGAACUUACCCGGAACAAUUUGCAGUAGUUGUAGAGAUUUCUUGAACUAUUCCGGAAUUUUCUCUUUUCCUCGUUUAUCCUCAAUUUCUUGAUCUAUAAUAUAAAAUUUUCACUUAUCAGUAUUGACUUCACAUUCAUUCUAUUUCACAUCCUUAAUGUUUAUAACCCGCUUACAAGUAACAUUAUCUACAAUUUUACUAUUUACCUAUGUAUAUUCAAUGCUGUCCAUCCAUGUCAUAGUCACUAAAUUAUUUUUAUCUUGAGCUACAGAACUCCAAAUUAGGAUCCGCUAAUUUUCACUGAACUAGACUCACAUAUCUUCUUAUCAUAAAAUUUUCAUAAUUUUUGGUUUAGCCAAUAAUUACAGUUUAUUCUUUAAAGUCACCCCUGUUCUGCUGUCUGAGAAUUCUAACCUUUCUUCACUAAAAAUUAAUUAUCUCUUCAUACAGAAUUCGGAUGAUAUUCCCGUUUGUUUCUUUUGAAAAUAGACUCAUUCAGAAUUCUUGACAUAUAAAUUUAAGUCCCUAAAUAUUUUUAUUAAAUUUUUUAUGAUUUUUCAAAUUCAGAACAGGGGAACUCGAAUUCAUUCUGACCUUGUCUCACAAAAUUAAUUAUAUCUCAUGAUUUCCAAAUCCUUUGCUAACACCGUUUCUUCUAUGAGAAACUAGACUCAAUAAGCUUUAACUUAUAUUUUGUUCAUAUUCUAAUUCGAUUCCUAAAAUUUAUGGUAAUUUUUCAAAGUUAGUCUACUGCUGCUGUCCAAACUGUUUUAGUGCAAGCUGUUUAUUGCCAUUUCCCCUAAGCUUUUAAUAAAUAACAAUUUCGUCCCUACUCAAUUAGCCUCUCAAUUGAGCUGAUUUUUCUCAAUUAACACUUUAUUCUAUCACCUUUAACUAGUUUACAACCUUUAGGAAUCCAAAUUUCAGAAAUAGACUUUAAUUCCAAACAUUUUCACAAUUAGGUUCUAAAAAAUCAAUUUCUAUUGAAAUUACCUAAUAGAAUCAUCUCAUAAACAAAUUAAUGCUUUAAUUUCAUUCUAUUUCAUCAUAAACUUACAGCACUCAACCAUGGUGACUUUCAAUUUCAUCCAUGAAAUCAAAAACUAAUGAAUUUAAUAGUAGGACCUAGUUGUAAAAGUCUUAGAAACACAAAAAUUACAAGAAAAAGGCAAGGAUUAACUCACUUGGUGCAAAAAUUAUGAAAUACCAGCUUAUAGAACCCUCCUAUGGCAUUUUUAGCUGCUGGAAUUGAAGAGAAAUGAAGAGAAAUCUAGAUAUUUCCUAUUUAGUCCUAGCUUUAUUUAGUUAAUUUUGCAAUAUUCCAAUUUUGCCCUUAAUUCAUCAAUUUUCCUGCUGAUUUCAAACCCCUUGCCGUCCAGCCCAAAUAGACCUUGGGUCUUUUUGCCUUUUAAACCCUCUUUCUUUUAUCAUUUAAGCUAUUUAAUCAUUCUUCAUAAUUUUACAUUUGUUACAAUUUAGUCCUUUUUAUUCAAUUAACCAUCGAAACUUUAAAAUUUGUUGACGAAACUUUAAUACUAACUUAUUAACACUCCAUAAAUAUUUAUAAAAAUAUUUAUGGCUCGUUUUAAAAAUUUUCAAACUCUCGAUACCUCAUUUUUUAUUCUAAUUUUUUUUAAUAUUUAUUUCUAGUACACUAUUCGCUAUUUCAAAAAUUUUCCUAACUUCACAUUUAACUUAUAUUCAUUAAAUUAUUAAUAUUUUUCUACUCAUUUGUCGGAUUUAGUGAUCUCGAAUCACUGUUCCGACACCACUGAAAAUUUAGGCUAUUACAAUUAAUGAGAGGAGAAAAAGAGAAAUAUUAUCGUAAUUGUGAAUAUUGAAAAUAAUCAAUUGCAAUAAAUACGAGUACUUAAACAAAACUUCAUACUAAAUCGAGGAUAAGUAUAUUUAAAUUCGAUACACCCAUUGGAGAUGUUGGGGAUUACAUCAUACUUGAUCAAUUAAGAAAAGACAUGAAGGAAUAGUACAGGUAUUAAGUUUGACAUUUACUUUGAAUAUGUAUUACAUUGCACACUGGCAAAAAUUAAGGGAUUAAUUUUGAUAUUAACCCUAAAUCUUAUAUACAGCUACGAAAAUAGUGGUCUCUUUUGACAUUAUAAUUGUCCUACAAUUAUAAUUGAUAUUAAUCCUAAAUCUUAUAAUUGUGUUUCAAAAUCGGUAGUGCUUAAAUCAAAGAUGAUUGAGUCUAGGUUGGCUUCUACCCAUCUCUGUAAUGAGCUCCUUUCUAUAUCCAAAUUAUUACUUCCAUGGGAAUUCCACCAACCCCUGCAAAUAUUAUUAAAUUAUUUGUCAAUCCAUUGAGCUAGUUGAAUCAAAAUUUAAUUUAAUUAGAACUCAAAAUAAUUCGAAUAAAUAAAUUCAGGGUCACUGUUAGUGGGAGGUAGGUACCUGAUCUCUUAAAAUAAAAAUUUUCACUUUUGGACCUUUAGAAUUGAUAAGAUUUUAAGUUAGUACAUAAUAAAAUUACAUUUUGACCCUUCAUGAUAAAAAAAAAAGAUUAGGUGCCAAAUUAGAAAAAAGAGUCAAGUUCGGGUACUAAAUUAAAUCCAAAAAAUAUAAGUACCAAUUUAAGAAAAAAGAGUCAAGUUUGGAUACUAAAUUGGACAAAAAAAUAGAUAUCAAAUUAAGAAAAAAUAUGAAGUUUAGAUACCAAAUAUUAUAUUAAACGAUUAUUGUAGGAACCCAUUAUUAACUGAAAAUUGGCUUUAAAUUUUUAUUAAAUUUAUAAUUUAUUUAACAUAUGUAAUUUGAUAAGAUUUGGUUUUAUAAUAUAAGAGAUUAACAUAAUCUCGAUAUGCUUUGAUCUCUUCCACCAAUGUAAGUCAAUCUAUAAGUCCGGCUAUAAAUAGAGAGCCUCCCUCGCCCAUUGUAUUUCAUUAUUAUUCUAUUCUUUUAGUAAAAGUUAAAGCGACCAAUUUUGACAUUUAACCCUAAAUUUUUGUACCUCUAGCAGCUUCCUAUCGCUGGCGGUCGCACCGGUGUAGUUUUCUUAUCUCAUGGCGAUGUGUGUCGAAGACAGGAUCAGUAAUCUUCCAGAUCAUAUUCGUUGUCAUAUUUUGUCAUUCCUUCCCAUUCAAGAAGCAGUUCGAACCUCUAUUAUUUCAACCAAGUGGAGAAAUCUCUUUGCUUCAAUUUCUACCGUUGACUUUGAUACUUAUUUACUGUGUGGCUUGACUGACAGAAACGUUGAUAGCUUCAAGAACUUUGUUGAUAGGUUGCUGAAAUUCCCCAAUCAACUAAGUUUAGAUUGCUUUAGGCUACGUGGUGAUGAAUUUGAUUCAUGGAAUGAUGGAGAUUAUGAUUUUGAUGUUUCUGGUUGGAUAUGUGCUGCAGUGUGCCGUGGUGUCAAGGAAAUUGAUUUGUUCUUGGAUAAUUUUUGUCACACUUUACCAGAUAUUUUAUUCACUUGCCACUCACUGCUGACACUAACAUUGACUGCAAAAUAUUCUAAGAUUUUUGAGGUCCCAUCCGAGGUUUGUUUAAGGAAUCUGAAGACAUUGUGCAUUACAAACUCGGUACUCGUCGGUGAUUCUCUUAAUAGGUUAAUUUCCAAUUGUCAUGUCUUAGAAGAUUUGACUUUUGAUGAAUGUUCUGUUGCGAAUGCAAGGGAGAUCAACAUCCAAAUUCCAUCACUUAAGAGCUUGUAUUUAGAUUUUUUUUUCCCGACCGGAGCUUUAAAUUAUGUGGUGGUGAUUAAUGCUCCAAAUCUUGUUUAUUUUCGAUAUGAUUCCGUAAUAGUUGAAGGUUGUAGUUUGAGUAACAUGAAAUCCCUAGAAAAAGCUGAUAUUUGCAUCUGGUUUGAUUCCAGUAACUAUGAAACAAGUGCAACUCAUCUGUUUCAAGGAAUUUGCAAUGUACGGUCUCUAAGGUUAAACAUUCAUGAAGUGGUUAGUAAGCUUAAUACUCAUGUGUUCUUUUUUCCUUUUAACAUUAUAUACUAUAAAGGCUCCAAAUUUUUGUUCCUGCAGAUUCCCCUAGCAAGUCGAAUUCCCAUAUUUCAUAAUCUUGUUGAAUUUGAAUUUUAUGGGAGAGAAAGUUGGCUUGUGGAGUUUCUACAUUUUGCACCUAAUCUAAAGACACUUACGGUCAAAUUUCAGGUAUGAAGUCUUUGUCAAGAAAUCGAAGACAUGCUCGAUGUCACCUAAAUUCAUGGUACAAACCGAAUAACUUUUCUUCUUUUUGUCAUGAGUUUAGGACGGGAACUCGAUGGAAUAUAGGUGUUCCUUCUUGUUUGUCAUUGCACCUGAAGAAGAUUGAAAUUUCAGACUAUGCCACAUAUAUGAUUGAAAUAGUUCGUUAUUUAUUAGAUAAUUCAAUGGUUCUAGAAAAGCUCAUAAUAAGGGUGGAUGCCAUGACUCCGACACAAGAAAAUAAAGCUCGCAACCAAUUAUUGCUGUUACUAAAGAGUUCAAAGAAAUGUCUAAUUGUAAUUUUGUAGUACUGAAUUAUCAGAUUCUUGUGAAAUGCAAAUUCGGUUCUUAGUCAAACUAUUUUAGUUUAAUAUGGGUUUGGAUUUUUUUUUAUUUGCAUUUUUUUUAUCUUUCUUCUCUUAUUUGCUAACAACUUCAUUUAAUUAUUUAAAAAUAUUCAUUUAAGUCAUUAAUCAAUUAAAAUAAUUAAUGUAUGAUUUUUUAUUGUAAUCGCUUGUACAAAUCAACAGCUCUUACUCAUUUUAUUUUCUCAAUUUUUUCAUAGAACUCACUAAACUUAAAAAAGAAAAAAUUAACAUCGCAAUGACAUACAUAAAAUAGUACCAAGAAGCCCCUCUACGGUAAUAUAACAACGACAAGAGGCUGAAGAUCCCUGUCAAGCAAAUUGUCCUCUAAUAUGCUCCUAUAAUAUUCACAAUACAUAAUGACAGAAACUUUUUGGUAGCAGUGCUGUCAAGUCCCUCUACAAAGAGUCAAAUUCUUUAACAUUUUCAUUUUCAUAAAGUAGGUGGGAUAAAAUUGAAUUUAACAUUUCGUUCAGUUGAAAAUAUAAUUGAUUGCGGUAUUGGUCUGAAGAUAAAGGUUGAAUCUAUUGAACCUUUGAACUGAAACAAAAAACCAAGCUUAGAAAAAUCGGUCUAUUCUUUACAUAAUUUAUUUUUUAUUUUAUGAUUUUUUUAAACAAAUAACCAAUAUUAAUCCUCCCGCCAAUGCAAGUCCGGUCUGCCUUUAAUCGUCGACAGUGUAUGAUAGUAAGACUGUAUAUCGGAGAGACGAUAAAGAGCUCCUUUGCGUGGCAGAUGGUCCAGAUUUAAUGAAUCGCUAACUAUUGAAGAGAGGAGAAAUUGUUAUCUCUAAUGUUUCCAACCUUGUGAAUGCAGGUAAUGCUUCCUCUUAUCUCUUAUCUUACUAUGAACAUGUCUGCAAAUGGUAAGAGUUGGGUGAUGGACAUAGGUAAUCUGCAUAUGUAAUGUAAGUUCUUGAAAUGUGAUCAUCACAGAAGUUAAAAACUUAGGUCCUUUACACUAUGGCUUUUCUAGUCUAAUAUGAGAAAUGGAUUGUCCAAUAUCAUGUUAAUUAUGCAUCUUAGAUUGCAAAGGCUAGCUGCUGGGAACCAUUGUUUUCAAAACUGAACCAAAUAGUUGGAUCGGGAUAUUGAUUUGGAAUAAGAGGUUGGAUCGUUUGACUUUCAAAAUGGAAGCAAUCGUUGGAGUACAAAUCUUAAAAAUCUUAUUGGGAACUUAUCCUAGGCCAAACUUGGGUUAAAUCAAAUUUUUGCAAUAACCUAAACUCGUGAGAGAAGAAAAAGAGAAAUAUUAUCGUAAUUGUGAAUAUCGAAAAUAGUUAAUUGCAAUAAAUACGAGUACUUAAACAAAACUUCAUACUAGAUCGAAGAUAAAUGUCUUUAACUUAGACAUACCCAUUAUGUCUUGUUCAUUUCUUCAGGAGAUGAUGGGGCUUACAUACUUCAUACUUGAUCAAUGAAGAAAAGACAUAAAGGAAUAAUACAGGUAUUAACUUUGACAUUUGCUUUGUAUAUGUAUUAUAUUGCACAUUGGGUAAAAGUGAAGGGAUCAAUUUUGAUAUUAACCCUAAAUCUUAUAUAAAGCUAUGAAAAUACGACAUUAACACUAACUUUUUUGUAUAUCUAGCAGCUUGUACCAAAGGUAAGAACUUUCCUUUUCUUCCUUCCACAAAUCCGAGUCGGUGGCUGUCACCGCCACCCACGGCCGCCAUCAGAGUUCGAAGCCAGACAUAAGCUAGUGAAGCCGAACCACAAAACAAAAGCGAAAACUCUCCGUUUCCUAUCGCCGGCCGUCGGACAGGUCUGCAGUUUUCUUAUCUUAUAGCGAUGUGUUCCGAAGACAGAAUCAGUAUUUUGCCGGAUCAUAUUCUUUGUCAUAUUUUGUCUUUCCUUCCUAUUAAAGAAGCAGUUCGAACCUCUAUUAUUUCAACCAAGUGGAGAUACCUCUUUGCUUCAAUUUCUACCAUUGAAUUUGAUCGUUGUUUACUGAGUGGUUUGACUGACAGAAAUGUUGACAGCUUCAAGAACUUUGUUGAUAGGUUAUUGAAAUUCCCCGAUCAGGUAAGUUUAGAUUGCUUUAGGCUAAGUGAUGGGAUUUCAUGGAAUGAUGAAGAUCAUGAUUUUGAUGUCUCUGGUUGGAUAUGUGCUGCAUUGUGCCGUGGUGUUAGGGAAAUUGAUUUGCACUUAGAUAAUCUUGGGGAUGUUCUCACUUUACCAGCUGUUUUAUUCACUUGCCACUCACUGGUGACACUGAAAUUGAAUGCAGAAGGUUCUAAGAUUGAGGUCCCAUCUGACGUUUGUUUAGGGAAUCUGAAGACUUUGCAGCUUAGAAACUCGGUAGUUGACGGUGAUUCCAUUAAUAGGUUAAUUUCCAAUUGCCAUGUCUUAGAAGAUUUGGCUUUUUUUGAAUGUUUUCUUGCGUAUGCAAGGGAGCUCAAUAUCCAAACUCCUUCUCUUAAGAUAUUGGUUUUAGAAUUUGAUGUGGUAGAAUACAGAGGUUUCAAUUAUGUGCUGGUGAUUAAUGCUCCAAAUCUUGUUUAUUUUCAAUAUACUGACGCAGUAGCUGAAGGCUAUGCUUUGAGUAACAUGAAGUCUCUAGAAAAAGCCGAUAUUAGCAUCUAUCGGUUUGAUUCCAGUGAUUGUGAAACAAGUGCAACCCAUCUUAUUCAAGGAAUUUGCACUGUGCGGUCUCUGAGUUUAACCAUUGAUGAAGUGGUUAGUAAACUUAGUAUUCAUGUGUGAUUUUCCUUUUAACAUCAUAUAAUUUAACAUUAUAUAAUAGCUUCAAGUUUUUGGGUGCGCAGCUUUUCCGAACGUGUCGACUUCCUAUAUUUCACAACCUUAUUGAAUUUGAAUAUCAUGGUCUUGGUUUUAAUGGCAGAGAAACUUGGCUUGUGGAGUUUCUACAUUGUGUGCCUAAUCUAAAGACACUUACCCUCAAUUUUCUGGUAUGAAGUCUUUUUCUGAGUACGUGUAUUCGUUGCGAUUGAUUGUUUUAGUGUCAGUUAUAUUCACAAUUACAAUAAACUUAAAAGAAAUCGAAAGCAUGUUCGGGAUCAACUAAAUUCAUGGUACAAACCAAGUAACUUUUCUAAGUUUUCUUCUCUUGUCAUGAGUUUAGGUUGUUGCGGAAACUCAAUGGAAGGUUUUACACAUGGAAGUUCCUUCUUGUUUGUCUUUUCACCUCAAGGAGAUUAAAAUUUUGAACUUUAAGGGAGACACGCGAAUGUUUGAAAUGAUUAGUUAUUUCUUGGAUAAUGCUAUGGUUCUGGAAAAGCUCAUGAUAGGAAUGAAAACCCUGUCUGAGACACAACAAUCGACUGUCUUCUACCAGUUAUUACAGUUACCAAAGAGUUCAAAGAAAUGUCAAGUUGUGAUUUUCUAGUACUGUUUUAUGUUAUGGUUAGAACUGAUCAGUGUCUGGUUUGGUUUUGUAUAGAUGUGUUGUUUGAAAUAUACAUUUUAGUGUUAAUACCCUAUACAUUCACUAAUAGCAAUACUGAAUUUCUGAUAGUUGGUUUAUAUAUGUAUGUGUGUAUGUAUAUUUAUGGGUAUAUAUAUGUAUUGUAGCCAAAAAUAGCCUUUGAAAUUGAUAAGUAGCCCAUGAUUGGAAAAAUAGAAACAUAUUUUAAUUUGUAAGAAACAAUCGUAUGAUAUACCUUACACAAGCAGCUCUGAUAGGAAGAACAUCAGAUUGAUUUGGAACUAUUUGAGAACAAGAAAAAGGGGAGCUCUCUAGUAAUGGGGAUUUGUACAUUCGUACCAACAGCAAAGAGGGCUUCCAUUGUUCCUGUUAUAGGCUAGCUUUGGUUCAACACAGACCAUUGAAGAUGAAGGUUUGAGAACUUGAGAUUUUAGCCUGCUAGAAUGCUGGAAUUUAGCUUCCUUGAGACUGAAAUGAUGUUUAAAGAUCCCUUGAUUUGACUAUGGAACUCACACCAUUGACAACAAUGCUUGCGCCUUACAGGUCAGUCAGUGUUGAUAAUAUCCAACUCUAAACUCGUCUCCCUGGUGCAUUCCUCUGUCAAAAUAUCAUCUGAAAAUUUCGGUGUUGCGUGAAAGAAAUUUGGUGAAAUUAUCAAGGUCCCUCUAUUAAAAAAAUGAGUAAAUUAAUUCUGUAGGUAAGAAAGUGAUUAUCCCAUUAAGAAAGAAGCAAGUAACAGUAAAGACAGCGUCGUGGUUGUCAUCAGUGGUAGGUUGGCUGGUGGGAUCACCAUAAAGAGUGGAGAUAUGAUCAUGGUUUGUCAUCACUCAAUGUCACUUAAUUUCAAAAAAUCACCAAAUGAUCGUUUUAGUUUUCCUCCCACAAACUUGAAUAGACGAGGCUCAUUCGACUUAUGAGAUUGUCUACUUAAAUAUGAGAAAUUAAACUCAUAAUAUUAUGUAAAGGUAUAUGUAAUUGAUAAGAUUUGAUUUUAUAAUCUAAGAAAGUAUGUAAAUCCCUUAAUUGUAUAUAAACUUUGAUCUCUUCCAUCGAUUUAAUUUGAUAUAUACCGUCGGUUUUGAGCAACUUAAUUAUAAAUAAAAGCCUCCCCUCAUGUUUCACAUAUGGUAUUAAGGACUAAUAUUGACAUUUAACCCUAAAUCUCCUUUUUUUUCUUCCACAAUCCAAUCCGGAGGCUGUUACCUCCACCCACGGCCACUGUCGACAUAGGCUAGUGAAGCUAAACCACAAAACAGAGGCAAAAAAGUUCCGGUUCCUAUCGCCGGCCACCGCACCGGUCUGUAGUUUUCUUAUCUUAUGGCGAUGUGUAUCAAAGACAGGAUCAGUAAUUUUCCGGAUCAUAUUCGUUGUCAUAUUUUGUCAUUCCUCCCCAUUAAAGCAGCAGUUCGAACCUCUAUUAUUUCAACCAAGUGGAGAUACCUCUUUGCUUCAAUUGCUACCAUUGAAUUUGAUCGUUAUUUACUGCGUGGUUUGACCCACAGAAACGUUGACAGCUUCAAGAACUUUGUUGAUUGGUUGUUGAAAUUUCCCGAUCAAGUAAGUUUAGAUUGCUUUAGGCUACGUGAUGGGAUUUCAUGCAAUGUUGGAGAUCAUGAUUUUGAUGUUUCUGCUUGGAUAUGUGCUGCACUGUACCGUGGUGUUAAGGAAAUCGAUUUGGAACUACAUAAUCUUGGGGAUGUUUUCACUUUACCAGCUGUUUUAUUCACUUGCCACUCACUGGUGACACUGAAAUUGAAUGCAGAAGGUUCUAAGAUUGAGGUCCCAUCUGAGGCUUGUUUAGGGAAUCUGAAGACUUUGCAGCUUACACACUGGGUAGUUUUCGGUGAUGAUUCCAUUCAUAGGUUAAUUUCCAAUUGCCCUGUCUUAUAAGAUUUGGCUUUCAUUGAAUGCUUUGUUGCGAAUGCAAGGGUGCUCCAUAUCCAAAUUCCUUCGCUUAAGAGGUUGGUUUUACAUUUUGUUGCGAGCGGAGAGGUGUUCAUAGGUUGGGCCGGGCCGGGUUCGGGUCCAGUUCAACUAAAAAAUCAUGCUCAUUUAUUGGGCUCGGGCCGGGCCGGGCCCAAAAAAUGGGCCUAAAAUUUUUUUCAAACUCGACCCGGAUAAAAAUAAUAAAAUCCGGGCCCGGCUCGGCUCGCCAGUAUUAAUUUUUUUAUAUUAUAUUAUUAUUAUUUUUAAAUACAUAUAAUACAUCAAAAAUACUAAAAAUAUCAAAAUAAAUUUUCCCAACAAAUUGAAAAUAAAUUUUGAAAAAAUGUAGACUUAAAUAACACUAAGACAAAUGCAACUUAACAAGCAAUUGCUUCUAAAAUAAAAAAAAAUUAACAAAUACCUUUAAAAUAAUAAGAAAAUUAACAAUAAAUUUUUUUAUACAAUAUCUAAAUAAUAACAACAAAAUAAUAGCAACAUAAUAGUAAAAUGGUAGCAAAAUAUAGAGAAAACAACAAGAAAAUAACAUUCAAAAAUAAAAAAAAUAUGCAGAUUUUUUUUGUCCUUUAGUGAAUUUGGGCCGGGUCGAGCCGGGCUCAGGCUAAAAAUAUCUUACUCGAGGCCCGGCUCAUUUUUUAAACGGGCCUUAUUUUUUGUCUAAGCCCAUUUUUCGGGCCUAUAUUUUUGUCCAAACCCUCCCAUAUUUUGGGCGGGCCUUCGGGCCGAGCCGGGUAGCCCGGCCAUGCACACCUCUAACCUAAACUAUGGGGUGGUGAUUAAUGUUCCAAAUCUUGUUUAUUUUCGAUAUGAUCUGGCAAUAGUUGAAUGUUACAGUCAUAUGAAGUCCCUAGAAAAAGCCGACAUUUGCAUCUAUGGCUUUCAUUCCAAUUUAAGCAUUGAUGCAACUCAUCUUAUUCAAGGAAUUUGCAAUAUACGGUCUCUAAGUUUAAGCAUUCAUGAAGUGGUUAGUAAACUUAGUAUUCAUGUGUUUAUUUUCCUUUUUAACAUCAUAUUAUAUAAUAUUAUAUAAUAACUCUAAGUUUUGACUUGUGCAGAUUUUCGGAACAAGUCUGACUUCCUAUAUUUUACAACCUUGUUGAAUUCAAGUUUUGUGCGCCUAAUCUAAAAACUCUUGCCAUCAUAUUUCUGGUAUGAAGUUUUUGUCAUCAGAAACUCGAUGAAAAGCUUUAUAUAUAGAAAUUUCUUCUUGUUUGUCCUUUCACCUCAAGGAGAUUGAAUUUUUAUGCUUUGACAUACAUAUGAUUGAAAUGGUUAAUUAUUUCUCGGAUAAUGCAAUGGUUCUAGAAAAUGUUAUAAUAAAAAUAGAUCUUCGACUUAAACACAGAAAACGGAAACCAGCAACCAAUUAUUGAAGUUAUUAAAGAGUUCAAAUAAAUGUGGUUAUAAUCAUAACAUAAAAUAGUAUCAAGAAGGCCCUCUGCUGUAACAUAACAUUGACAAGAAGCUGAAAAUCCCUGCCAAACAAAUCGUACAUAAUGAUAGAAAUUUUUUUGGUUGAAGUACCCUUCUAUUAAGAAUAUGUUGAUAAAGUAAGUGGAAUAAAAUUGAAAUUUAGCAUUUUUUUUUCAUAGAUUAAAAUAAAUGUUUAUUUAAAAUUUAUAAAUAAAAAAUUGCCACGUGUCAAAAUAUUCGAAACUACCACUUGUCCUAAUUAAAAAAAUAGAAACCCAGCAACCGGCAGACGCUGGGAAAUGCUAGUAAUAAGUAAACAAGCAUUUCACGAUACCGUCUCUGUUUCGUUUCUUGCAUACUUGUUCGUUGACUUGCUUUCUUGACUACUGGGAACCAGGAAUGACCGAAGCUAUAAUCGGUGCAACCAUAGAGGUGGCUUUGUCCAAGGCUAUCUCUAUCAUCGAAGAUCAAAUCAACCUGGUAGUGACUUGGGAUUUCAAAGACGACCUCAACAAGCUUCGUUCCUCACUAGAUCUCGCUCGAGCUUUCUUGCAAGACGCGGAGAGUAGGCGAGUCGAUGAACCCAUCAAGGUUUGGCUUCAACAGCUGAGGUGUAUCGCCUAUGCUGCCGACGAUGUAUUGGAUGAGCUUGCUUAUGAAAGUCUCCGAAGAACGACGGAGGCUAACCAAAUGGGUAAAAAGGUUAGCAAUUUAUUCUCCCUCUCCAAGAAUCCCAUGGCAUUUUCUGUAAAGAUGGGUAAAAAUAUUAAGAAUAUUAGCAUGUCCAUGGAUGAAAUUAUUGAUCGAGCCUUGAAAUUCGGACUCCAACAAAGAGUUCAAAGUAUGGGUCCUGUGUUUAGUGGAAUUGGAGGCACCCAUUCCUGUAACUCAUCACGAGUUGUUGGAAGGGAAGCUGAUGUUCAGAAAAUAGUUGAUCUUUUGAUUGGCUCAAACACUGAUCACCAUGGGUUUUCGAUGGUGUCCGUAGUAGGUAUGGGAGGCUUGGGUAAAACUACUUUAGCCAAGUCUGUUUGUAACAAUGAGAAAGUGCAGAACUGUUUUGGUGAAAUAAUUUGGGUCUGUGUGGCUGAAACUUUCGAUGUUCGAAGGAUUUUAUCAGAGAUCUUAGAAUCUCUAACUAGAAAACCUUGUGAAAUCAAGAAUGAUGAUGUUGUGGUUAGAGAAAUACAGAAGAAGUUGAAAGGCAAAAGCUUCCUUCUUGUGCUUGAUGAUGUGUGGGAUGAGGAUAUUAAAAACUGGGGGGACUUAAAAGGUAGUUUGUUGGGGAUAAAUGAAAGUAAACAAAGUUGCAUUCUUGUUACUAGUCGUAGUGAAAAUGUGGCAGUGGUGAAAGAAACCCUCCCUGAGUACAGGCAUCAUCUGAAGACAAUGGUGGAUGAGGAGUGUUGGUCCAUAAUCAGAGAUAGUGCCUUCGGAAACUCUUCUGUAUCACAAGAAUUAGAAGUUAUAGGGAGGGAUAUUGCCCGUAAAUGUUCAGGUGUGCCAUUGGUGGCAAAUGUUAUAGGGAGCACAAUGUGCAACAGAUGGGAUAGGGAUGAAUGGGUGUCACUCAGGGAUAGUUCUCUUUGGGGUUCUUUGGAAAGGAAUGAAGGGAUUGUACGUGUUCUGAAAUUGAGUUUUGAUCGCUUGUCUUCCCCAUCUUUGAAGCAGUGUUUUGCAUAUUGUUCCAUCUUUCCUAAGGAUUUUAGGAUCCAAAAGGACCAAUUGAUCCAGCUUUGGAUGGCUGAAGGCUUUCUUCAGCAAUCCAGGAUAAGUUCCCAGCAGCCGGCCGUUGAGGAUAUCGGCAAUGAAUACUUCAAUGCGUUGCUAUCAAAUUCCUUAUUGCAGGAUGUGGAGCGGGAUCAAUACGGUUGCAUUACAACAUGUAAGAUGCAUGAUUUAGUUCAUGAUCUUGCACAAUCCAUUUCUCAUAUUAGACUAGGAAACAUCGUUAAUGGUGUGAGACUGUGGCACUCUUUGUUCUCCAAUUCUAGCUCCAUCCAUGCUGUAAGGGACUUCAAAAGCUUACGAGUUCUUAUUUUUUGCGGUGCUCCCAUUGUCUCCUUGUCACACUCAAUUGGCAGGCUAAAGCAUUUAAGAUACUUUGACAUUUCAAGAACUUACAUAUGUAGAUUACCAAAGUCCAUCAGCCAGCUUUACCAUUUGCAGACAUUAAGAUUAUCGGGUUAUGAAGGGCACAUGCCUGAAGGAAUGGAAAAUCUAGUAAAUUUGAGGCAUCUGUAUAUUGGUCAUUAUAGAACUGUUCCUUAUAAGAUAGGAUGUCUAACUAAUCUUCAAACUUUGCCAAUAUUUAGAGUGGGUACAGAAAGGGGAAGUGGAAUUGGUGAAUUGGGAGGUUUAGUUGAAUUUGGUGGAGAACUAGUCAUAUUCAAUCUUCAGAAUGUUAGAAAUGAAGGAGAAGCUAGGGAAGCAAAAUUGUUGGAGAAAAAGAAACUACAUGAGUUAGAAUACCUUUGGGGCUAUAACAGGGAAGAAUCUUGCAACGACGAGGAAGUACUGGAAGGAUUGGAACCUCACUCAAAUUUGAAAAGCUUAAGUAGUAUGUACUAUAAUGGAAGGCACUAUCCAUCAUGGUUGGCAAGGUUUACUAAUAUUAGUGGUCCAAGUGCUUGUUUUCAACCCAUCAAUUUGGUGAAGUUGAAGCUGUCUAAUUGUAAGAAUUUAGAGAAACUGCCAACUCUUGGGCACUACCCCAAUCUCAAAAUUCUUGAAGUAGAAGGUUUAAAUAAUGUGAGGUGCAUUGGAAAAGAAUUUUAUGUCAGUGAUGAUGACAGUAGUUCUGAUAAGAAUAAGCCAAUCACCUUAUUUCCAGCAUUGGAAAAGUUGAGCCUGUGGAAUAUGGAAGAAGUAGAAGAAUGGUUAGAAGUGGAACCAACAGUUACUGUGUUUCCUUCACUAAAAGAGCUACAUAUUGAAGGUUGCUGCAAGCUAAGCAGUGUUCCAAGAAUGAGUAGACUUUCUUGUCUUGAGGCACUCACUAUUACAGGUAACAAUGCAUUAAGUUGUAUAGGAGAUGAACAAUUUCCCUUUCCCUCUAGCCUCAAAAAAUUCACCAUACAGAGGUGCUAUAAGUUAACGACAGUUCCAAGUGUAGAGGGCGGUAUCUCUUUUCUUCAGCAUCUUGAGGUGAAGCUUUGUGACCGGUUAUGUAAAAUAGGACAAGGAUUACUUACUUCCACAUGUCUAAGAGUUGUGGUCAUAUGUGACUGUCCUAAUUUGAUCUCCAUUCCAGUAUAUGGCAUAUCUGAAUCUCUUGUGAAGCUUGAGUUGGAUCAUUGUUGAGGAUUACGGGAGGUAGAGGGUGCGUUAUCUGCAUUCACAAGGUUGGAAACAUUACGGAUAGGAAACUGUCUUAAUCUGAUUCCCAUUCCCCUUCCCAGUUUAGAUGUUUUCUCCUCUCUUAUACAAUUAUCGCUGGAAGGAUGUCACAGAUUAACGAGUCUACCAAGUGGAUUGCGAAGCUGUACUUGUCUUCAGUUUUUGGUCGUGGACUAUUGCACUGAUCUGGAGUCGAUUCCAGAAGAUUUAGGGCGAUUGAUUCUCUGAAGGAACUGUGUAUCUUGAGUUGUCAAAACUUGAAGAGUGUUCCAGAGGACAGCCUUAGGUGCCUCACCCGUUUGAAGACAUUGAAAUUGGGUCCUUUCUCACAAGAGCUAGAUGAAUUCCCAGGUCUUAGUUCCAUCCACCACCUCCACUCUUCCCUUGAAAUUUUGACAUUGAAUGGAUGGGAAAAACUAUGCUCGCUGCCUUAUCAACUUCAACACCUAGCCGCACUAAAGUAUUUAAUUAUUUCUGGAUUUGAUGGAGUCACAACUUUACCUGAGUGGUUGGGAAACCUCUCCUCUCUUCAAGAUUUGACAAUAGAUUUUUGUCGAAAUCUUGAGGAUCUGCCAUCUAAGGGAGCCACAUAUCGCCUCUCCAAUAUUCAACAUCUUUCUAUUACAAACUGUCCAAGAUUAAAAG